Molecule: ribosomal RNA, 496 nt
Filed under: uncultured bacterium
Lineage: Bacteria
Description: bacterial SSU rRNA
Rfam family: Bacterial small subunit ribosomal RNA
Source: RNAcentral
ACGCUGGCGGCGCGUCUUAAGCAUGCAAGUCGAACGGCAAGAGGUAGCAAUACCUCCUAGAGUGGCGGACUGGUGAGUAACACGUGGGUGACAUACCCUUCAGAUGGGGAUAGCUAUUAGAAAUAGUAGAUAAUACCGAAUACGAGCACAGGGGUUAGAGAUCUGUGAGGAAAGGAGCUAAGGCUCCGCUGAAGGAAUGGCCUGCGGCCCAUUAGCUAGUUGGUGAGGUAAGAGCCCACCAAGGCGAUGAUGGGUAUCCGGCCUUAGAGGGUGAACGGACACAUUGGGACUGAGAUACGGCCCAGACUCCUACGGGAGGCAGCAGCUAAGAAUAUUCCGCAAUGGACGAAAGUCUGACGGAGCGACGCCGCGUGGAUGAAGAAGGCCGGAAGGUUGUAAAAUCCUUUUGAAACUGAAGAAUAAGCGUUGUAGGGAAUGACAGCGUGGUGACAGUAGGUUUUGAAUAAGCAACGGCUAAUUACGUGCCAGCCGCCGC